AUGAGUGAGUGACAAGGUGCAGGGGCAACCAAUGGAAAAGAAAAGACAUCUGGUGAAAAUGAUGGACAGAAGAAAGUUCAAGAGGAAUUUGACAUUGACAUGGAUGCACCAGAGAUAGAACGUGCAGUGGUGGCCAUUCAGUCUCGGUUCAGAAAAUUCCAGAAGAAAAAGGCUGGGUCUCAGUCCUAGCGGGAGAGCCCCCUCCUAGUCCACCUGACAACACCAAACUCAACCAUCAUCUGUCAAGAAAUUAAAAGAACAAUACUCUAGAGAGAAGUCAUCCACACACAAUCCACACACACACAGCAAACCUCCAAUGCAUGUACAGAAACCUGUGAUAUUUAUACCCUUGUAGGAAGGUAUAGACAAUGGAACUGUGAGUAGCCUAAUCUCUAUGUUUCUCUCCAUUUUCAUUCCUCCUGCAACUAUUUUCCUCGAUGUUGUAAUAAAAUGAAGUUGAGAUGAGUGAAAAAAAAAAA
Molecule: RNA transcript, 479 nt
Organism: Cebus imitator (Panamanian white-faced capuchin)
Lineage: Eukaryota; Metazoa; Chordata; Mammalia; Primates; Cebidae
Gene name: calmodulin regulator protein PCP4-like
Exons: 1
Source: RefSeq, a predicted model, not a curated record